ACAACAUUGAAACCGAUGGUCUACCGAGCAUUAUCAGCGGCUCGGUGGAAGAUCCUCCCUCUGACGU
Molecule: microRNA precursor, 67 nt
Filed under: Bombyx mori (domestic silkworm)
Lineage: Eukaryota; Metazoa; Arthropoda; Insecta; Lepidoptera; Bombycidae
Description: mir-2774 microRNA precursor family
Rfam family: mir-2774 microRNA precursor family
Source: Rfam by way of RNAcentral